GAUGAACGCUGGCGGCGUGCCUAAUACAUGCAAGUCGAGCGAACAGACGAUGAGCUUGCUCCUCUGACGUUAGCCGCGGACGUGUGAGUAACACGUGGAUAACCUACCUAUAAGACUGGGAUAACUUCGUGAAACCGGAGCUAAUACCGGAUAAUAUCUUGAACCGCAUGGUUCAAUAGUGAAAGCCGGUUUUGCUGUCCCUUCUAGAUGGAUCCGCGCCGCAUUAGCUAGUUGGUAAGGUAACGGCUUACCAAGGCCACGAUGCGUAGCCGACCUGAGAGGGGGUCGGGGGACACAGAGGGUGAGAGGCGACACAGAGACCGAGGGGAGGCAGAAGCAGGGAAUGGACGGAGAUGGGGGGAAUACUGAAGAAGGGGCGCAGCGUGGAUGAAGAAAGGCCUCGGGUCGUAUGACUCUGUUAGGGGGGAAAACCGAAUGUGGAAGGAACUAUGCACGUUGUGACGGUACCUGCACAGAAAGCAACGGCUAACUACGUG
This 497-nucleotide ribosomal RNA is filed under the name uncultured bacterium. RNAcentral's name for it is "partial 16S ribosomal RNA". It matches the Rfam family "Bacterial small subunit ribosomal RNA", at positions 28 to 507 of the family's 1533-position model. The record is from RNAcentral.